RNAcentral lists this ribosomal RNA (501 nucleotides) under uncultured bacterium. RNAcentral describes it as "bacterial SSU rRNA". It matches the Rfam family "Bacterial small subunit ribosomal RNA", at positions 30 to 524 of the family's 1533-position model. The record is from RNAcentral.
AUUGAACGCUGGCGGAAUGCUUUACACAUGCAAGUCGAACGGUAGAGGGGGCAACCCCUUGAGAGUGGCGAACGGGUGAGUAAUAUAUCGGAACGUGCCCAGUCGUGGGGAUAACGUAGCGAAAGUUACGCUAAUACCGCAUACGAUCUAAGGAUGAAAGCGGGGGACUCGCAAGAGCCUCGCGCGAUUGGAGCGGCCGAUAUCAGAUUAGGUAGUUGGUGGGGUAAAGGCUCACCAAGCCAACGAUCUGUAGCUGGUCUGAGAGGACGACCAGCCACACUGGAACUGAGACACGGUCCAGACUCCUACGGGAGGCAGCAGUGGGGAAUUUUGGACAAUGGACGCAAGUCUGAUCCAGCCAUUCCGCGUGCAGGAUGAAGGCCCUCGGGUUGUAAACUGCUUUUGUUACGGAACGAAAAAGGUUUGUCUUAAUACGAUGAGCUCAUGACGGUACCGUAAGAAUAAGCACCGGCUAACUAACGUGCCAGCAGCCGCGGUAAA